AGCAAGAGCAGGAAAUGGUACAAGCC
This 26-nucleotide non-coding RNA is filed under the name Mus musculus (house mouse). The record is from RNAcentral. Lineage: Eukaryota; Metazoa; Chordata; Mammalia; Rodentia; Muridae.